This 1395-nucleotide ribosomal RNA is filed under the name metagenome. RNAcentral describes it as "SSU rRNA". It matches the Rfam family "Eukaryotic small subunit ribosomal RNA", at positions 558 to 1800 of the family's 1831-position model. The record is from RNAcentral.
AGUCUGGUGCCAGCAGCCGCGGUAAUUCCAGCUCUAAUAGCGUAUAUUAAAUUUGUUGCAGUUUAAAAGCUCGUAGUUGGACUUUUGGGAAAAUUAAAAGGAUGGUGAAAUAAAGUUGUUGGGCGCGUAAAAACGUCUGAUGACCGCCAUCCCCCAAUCAUUUAUGUGGGAGGGGGCCAUUUGUUGGGUCUGGAGGUCGUUCGGUGGUCGCAAGACUAACGGGUGGCAAUACCGUCACAGGUGACCACACCAAACUCUCUCACUUUUUACCUUGAGCAAAUUAGAGUGUUCAAAGCAAGCUUUUUCGCAUGAAUAUUCUAGCAUGGAAUAAUGGAAUAGGACUUGAGUCCUGUUCGUUGGUUUUUGGGACUCGAGUAAUGAUUAAUAGGGAUGGUUGGGGCCGUUUGUAUUCCGUUGUCAGAGGUGAAAUUCUUGGAUUUACGGAAGACAAACAUCUGCGAAAGCAUUCGGCAAGCACAUGCUCAUUAAUCAAGAACGAAAGUUAGGGGAUCGAAGACGAUCAGAUACCGUCGUAGUCUUAACCAUAAACUAUGCCGACUCGGGAUCCGCGCGCGUUGAUUUUAUCAAACGACCGUGUGGGCACCGUGUGGGAAACCAUCAGUGUUUGGGCUCCGGGGGGAGUAUGGUCGCAAGGCUGAAACUUAAAGGAAUUGACGGAAGGGCACCACCAGGAGUGGAGCCUGCGGCUUAAUUUGACCCAACACGGGAAAUCUCACCAGGUCCAGACAUUUUCAGGAAGAUCAGAUUGAAAGCUCUUAUUUGAUUAGAUGGGUGGUGGUGCAUGGCCGUUCUUAGUUGGUGGAGUGAUUUGUCUGGUUAAUUCCGUUAACGAACGAGACCUCAGCCUGCUAAGUAGGGGGCGUGGCUUUUUGGCCGGCGCUCAAAAUUUACCUUCUUAGGGGGACUAUUUGUGUUUAACGAAUGGAAGUUUGAGGCAAUAACAGGUCUGUGAUGCCCUUCGAUGUUCUGGGCCGCACGCGCGCUACACUGACGAGUCCAACAAGCAUAAGUUUUAUUUUCUCAAGGGUCAGCAAUGGUCUGGAGCAAUCCUCGCUUUCGUUUCUCGCCUCGGCGGGUGCGGAAGUUGCUUGGGAGAAGAGUCCUGGUCCGAAAGGUCUGGGGAAACUUGCAAGACUCUGUCGUGAUGGGGCUAGCUCCUUGUAAUUAUGGAGCUUCAACGAGGAAUUCCUAGUAAGCGCGAGUCAUCAGCUCGCGUUGAUUACGUCCCUGCCCUUUGUACACACCGCCCGUCGCUCCUACCGAUUGAAUGGUCCGGUGAAAUCUUCGGAUUGUCGUUUGGUGUGGGUAACUGCAUCAGAAGCGAAAAGUUGAUUAAACCUUAUCAUUUAGAGGAAGGAGAAGUCGUAACAAGGU